GCCCGAGUGGCGGAAUGGCAGACGCAGUGGACUCAAAAUCCACCGGGGGCAACCCCGUGCGAGUUCGAAUCUCGCCUCGGGCA
This 83-nucleotide transfer RNA is filed under the name Gemmatimonadota bacterium. Its description in RNAcentral is "tRNA-Leu". It matches the Rfam family "tRNA". From Rfam's summary of the family: Transfer RNA (tRNA) molecules are approximately 80 nucleotides in length. The record is from RNAcentral. RNAcentral also lists the same sequence under 1 other name. Lineage: Bacteria; Pseudomonadati; Gemmatimonadota.